UGGCUCAGUGGUAGAGCACUUGCCUUACAUGCCUGAGGCCCUGGGUUCGAUUCCCCAG
Molecule: transfer RNA, 58 nt
Filed under: Dipodomys ordii (Ord's kangaroo rat)
Lineage: Eukaryota; Metazoa; Chordata; Mammalia; Rodentia; Heteromyidae
Rfam family: tRNA
About the family: Transfer RNA (tRNA) molecules are approximately 80 nucleotides in length. Their secondary structure includes four short double-helical elements and three loops (D, anti-codon, and T loops). Further hydrogen bonds mediate the characteristic L-shaped molecular structure. tRNAs have two regions of fundamental functional importance: the anti-codon, which is responsible for specific mRNA codon recognition, and the 3' end, to which the tRNAs corresponding amino acid is attached (by aminoacyl-tRNA synthetases). tRNAs cope with the degeneracy of the genetic code in two manners: having more than one tRNA (with a specific anti-codon) for a particular amino acid; and 'wobble' base-pairing, i.e. permitting non-standard base-pairing at the 3rd anti-codon position.
Source: Rfam by way of RNAcentral